RNAcentral lists this ribosomal RNA (374 nucleotides) under uncultured organism. RNAcentral describes it as "partial 16S ribosomal RNA". It matches the Rfam family "Bacterial small subunit ribosomal RNA", at positions 527 to 896 of the family's 1533-position model. The record is from RNAcentral.
GUAGGUGGCAAGCGUUGUCCGGAAUUAUUGGGCGUAAAGCGCGCGCAGGCGGUUCUUUAAGUCUGAUGUGAAAGCCCACGGCUCAACCGUGGAGGGUCAUUGGAAACUGGAGAACUUGAGUACAGAAGAGGAAAGCGGAAUUCCACGUGUAGCGGUGAAAUGCGUAGAGAUGUGGAGGAACACCAGUGGCGAAGGCGGCUUUCUGGUCUGUAACUGACGCUGAGGCGCGAAAGCGUGGGGAGCAAACAGGGAUUAGAUACCCUGGUAGUCCGCGCCGUAAACGAUGAGUGCUAAGUGUUAGGGGGGUUUCCGCCCCCUUAGUGCUGCAGCUAACGCAUUAAGCACUCCGCCUGGGGAGUACGGCCGCAAGGCUG